RNAcentral lists this transfer RNA (70 nucleotides) under Felis catus (domestic cat). It matches the Rfam family "tRNA", at positions 8 to 63 of the family's 71-position model. Rfam says of the family: Transfer RNA (tRNA) molecules are approximately 80 nucleotides in length. Their secondary structure includes four short double-helical elements and three loops (D, anti-codon, and T loops). Lineage: Eukaryota; Metazoa; Chordata; Mammalia; Carnivora; Felidae. RNAcentral also lists the same sequence under 2 other names. The record is from Rfam by way of RNAcentral.
UAGCUUAGUUGGUUAAGCAUCUGACUUUGACUCAGGUCAUGAUCUCACUACUUAUGGGUUUGAGCCCCAU